AUUGAACGCUGGCGGCAGGCCUAACACAUGCAAGUCGAGCGAGCGGCGGACGGGUGAGUAAUGUCUGGGAAACUGCCUGCUGGAGGGGGAUAACUACUGGAAACGGUAGCUAAUACCGCAUACCAUCAGAUGUGCCCAGAUGGGAUUAGCUGGUAGGUGGGGUAACGGCUCACCUAGGCGACGAUCCCUAGCUGGUCUGCGAGGAUGACCAGCCACACUGGAAUUGGGAAACGGUCCAGACUCCUACGGAGGGCAGCAGUGGGGAAUAUUGCACAAGGGGCGCAAGCCUGAUGCAGCCAUGCCGCUUGUGUGAAGAAGGCCUUCGGGUUGUAAAGCACUUUCAGCGGGGAGGCGUUACCCGCAGAAGAAGCACCGGCUAACUCCGUGCCAGCAGCCGCGGUAAUAC
RNAcentral lists this ribosomal RNA (406 nucleotides) under uncultured bacterium. RNAcentral's name for it is "partial 16S ribosomal RNA". It matches the Rfam family "Bacterial small subunit ribosomal RNA", at positions 30 to 526 of the family's 1533-position model. The record is from RNAcentral.